GACGAACGCUGGCGGCGUGCCUAAUACAUGCAAGUUGAGCGCUGAAGGUUGGUACUUGUACCAACUGGAUGAGCAGCGAACGGGUGAGUAACGCGUGGGGAAUCUGCCUUUGAGCGGGGGACAACAUUUGGAAACGAAUGCUAAUACCGCAUAAAAACUUUAAACACAAGUUUUAAGUUUGAAAGAUGCAAUUGCAUCACUCAAAGAUGAUCCCGCGUUGUAUUAGCUAGUUGGUGAGGUAAAGGCUCACCAAGGCGAUGAUACAUAGCCGACCUGAGAGGGUGAUCGGCCACAUGGGGACUGAGACACGGCCCAAACUCCUACGGGAGGCAGCAGUAGGGAAUCUUCGGCAAUGGACGAAAGUCUGACCGAGCAACGCCGCGUGAGUGAAGAAGGUUUUCGGAUCGUAAAACUCUGUUGGUAGAGAAGACCGUUGGUGAGAGUGGAAAGCUCAUCAAGUGACGGUAACUACCCAGAAAGGGACGGCUAACUACGUG
Molecule: ribosomal RNA, 497 nt
Filed under: uncultured bacterium
Lineage: Bacteria
Description: partial 16S ribosomal RNA
Rfam family: Bacterial small subunit ribosomal RNA
Source: RNAcentral